CCUGCUCUUUAAGUGAUCGCCCGCCGUAGUCCGCCUUAGGUGGACGAAGGUGGGAGGAAAGUCCGGGCAUCAACUUUCGCGCUUGCGAAGGGUGAUCUUAGGUCGUAGCUCCGCGCUACGGUCGACAGGUCACCGGAACGCCUAGUGGAUAACAUCCAUCUACCUGUCAUAUAUUCGGUAAAGGCGGGUAAGGACCAGUGCCACAGAGACGAGCCCCUUUGGUGGGGCGUGAAACGCCUCGGAGUACCGAGGGCCCCGCUACCAAUUAGCGAUGCCGGUAAACUCUAGGUGAUGUAAGGAGGAUUUGGGUGGUCAGAAUUCGUGAUGGUUCCGUCACACUGACUGCUCCUCCGCUUGAGGCUUCGGGUAACCGUUGCCCUAGAUAGAUGAUCGCUCUCGACAAGACCCGGCUUACAGAAGAGCAGGACCA
RNAcentral lists this RNase P RNA (430 nucleotides) under Patescibacteria group bacterium. Its description in RNAcentral is "RNase P RNA component class A". It matches the Rfam family "Bacterial RNase P class A". From Rfam's summary of the family: Ribonuclease P (RNase P) is a ubiquitous endoribonuclease, found in archaea, bacteria and eukarya as well as chloroplasts and mitochondria. The record is from RNAcentral.